Molecule: transfer RNA, 65 nt
Filed under: Myrmeleotettix palpalis
Lineage: Eukaryota; Metazoa; Arthropoda; Insecta; Orthoptera; Acrididae
Also listed under: 2 other names
Description: tRNA-Asp
Source: RNAcentral
AAGGAGUUAGUUAAAAUAUAACAUUAGAGUGUCAGUCUAAAAUAACUAAAAAUUAGUACACCUUG